CGACGGCUCAGCCCCGUCUGUGGGGACAACCACCGUGUGGAAAGAGGCUUCCGUCAGCGCCGAUCAUUGCUCCCGUCUCCGGAUACCGCCCGCGGGGGAGCGAAUCAAGGCCGGAAUCCCCUUCCCACUCGGACAAGAUUUCUCGUCUUCUACUGCGCCCAACUGCGGAUAGGAACUCCAGGACCUCGGACUGGGCCUUCCGGACCGCCCCCAUCAGCUCUCCAAACUGCUCUUCCGCCGCCGCCUUCACUUCGGAGACGGAGUUCUGGGAGGGGGAGGUCAGAACCAACUGCUGCUCAGUCUGAGAUGACCAGCCCCCAUGCCCCCCCCCUUUUCCCUCCCCCCACCCUGUGACCUUACCCCCUUUAGACCCCACCCCUGACCCUCCGAA
This is a long non-coding RNA of Tachyglossus aculeatus (Australian echidna), 391 nucleotides long. RefSeq lists it as uncharacterized. The record is from RefSeq and is a predicted model, not a curated record. Lineage: Eukaryota; Metazoa; Chordata; Mammalia; Monotremata; Tachyglossidae. The transcript has 3 exons.